This 301-nucleotide ribosomal RNA is filed under the name uncultured bacterium. RNAcentral's name for it is "partial 16S ribosomal RNA". It matches the Rfam family "Bacterial small subunit ribosomal RNA", at positions 509 to 807 of the family's 1533-position model. The record is from RNAcentral.
CAGUCGCCGCGGUAAUACAGAGGGUGCGAGCGUUAAUCGGAUUUACUGGGCGUAAAGCGUGCGCAGGCGGUGUUGUAAGACUGAUGUGAAAUCCCCGGGCUCAACCUGGGAACUGCAUUGGUGACUGCAACGCUGGAGUGCGGCAGAGGGGGAUGGAAUUCCGCGUGUAGCAGUGAAAUGCGUAGAUAUGCGGAGGAACACCGAUGGCGAAGGCAAUCCCCUGGGCCUGCACUGACGCUCAUGCACGAAAGCGUGGGGAGCAAACAGGAUUAGAGACCCCCGUAGUCCCUGUCUCUUAUAC